CAGCAGCCACGGUAAUACGUAGGUGGCAAGCGUUGUCCGGAAUUAUUGGGCGUAAAGGGCUCGCAGGCGGUUUCUUAAGUCUGAUGUGAAAGCCCCCGGCUCAACCGGGGAGGGUCAUUGGAAACUGGGAAACUUGAGUGCAGAAGAGGAGAGUGGAAUUCCACGUGUAGCGGUGAAAUGCGUAGAGAUGUGGAGGAACACCAGUGGCGAAGACGACUCUCUGGUCUGUAACUGACGCUGAGGAGCGAAAGCGUGGGGAGCGAACAGGAUUAGAUACCCCUGUAGUCCCUGUCUCUUAUAC
This 301-nucleotide ribosomal RNA is filed under the name uncultured bacterium. Its description in RNAcentral is "partial 16S ribosomal RNA". It matches the Rfam family "Bacterial small subunit ribosomal RNA", at positions 509 to 807 of the family's 1533-position model. The record is from RNAcentral.